RNAcentral lists this ribosomal RNA (505 nucleotides) under uncultured bacterium. RNAcentral describes it as "bacterial SSU rRNA". It matches the Rfam family "Bacterial small subunit ribosomal RNA", at positions 19 to 518 of the family's 1533-position model. The record is from RNAcentral.
CUGGCUCAGGAUGAACGCUAGCGGCAGGCUAACACAUGCAAGUCGAGGGGCAGCGGGAUGUAGCAAUACAUGCCGGCGACCGGCGGAUGGGUGCGUAACGCGUAUGCAACCUACCUUAUACAGGGGAAUAACCUUUCGAAAGGGAGACUAACACCCCAUAGUAUUGAUUUAAGGCAUCUUAGAUUAAUUAAAUAUUUAUAGGUAUAAGAUGGGCAUGCGUAUGAUUAGCUAGUUGGUAAGGUAACGGCUUACCAAGGCGACGAUCAUUAGGGGUUCUGAGAGGAAGGUCCCCCACACUGGUACUGAGACACGGACCAGACUCCUACGGGAGGCAGCAGUGAGGAAUAUUGGUCAAUGGGCGCAAGCCUGAACCAGCCAUGCCGCGUGCAAGGAAGACGGCCUUAUGGGUUGUAAACUGCUUUUACAUAAGACUAACCGUAUAUUUGCGAAUAUACCUGAAUGUAUUAUGAGAAUAAGGAUCGGCUAACUCCGUGCCAGCCGCCGC